Long non-coding RNA from Stegodyphus dumicola, 779 nucleotides. NCBI's taxonomy places the organism in Eukaryota, Metazoa, Arthropoda, Arachnida, Araneae, Eresidae. The record is from RefSeq and is a predicted model, not a curated record.
UCUUCGCUCGGGAAAGUUACGACUUAACUCUUCCCACUAGAAGCAUCAGCGCGCCGCAUAAACAGGAGCUAAAAGCACACCAUUGCUUUUCCGCGUUUUUCGCGAAUUUGAUCCAUAUUUGCCAGAAAGAGAAUUCAAAGGGGAAAAGCCCCGACUCCUUUCCUUUGUUUACGAAACUUUAAUUGAUAAAAAAACUCUUUAAAGUUACAUUAAGAGAAAAUAAAUUUCCUUGAAAUCAUAUGAAUGACCUUACUAUGGAAAGAACAUUUGUUGUAUAAAUUUUAUUAUCACUGAAAGUCGGAAUAUUUCUGUCCACAAAAAUACAGUGAAUGAUUCUUGAAACACUAUCCAUGCAGGUCGUCUGUAUAUGAUGGUUGAAGCAGCGUUCUGAAAAUUUGAUUGGUCAAGUGAAUUAUGCAGAGGAGACUUCAUCUGAAAUAUAAAAUCAUAGGAGCUCUUCUUCUGGUUAUUCAUCCCACGUAUUCAGGUAAAGAAACGAAACGGUGAAAUCAAAAUUCAGAGGAUUUUUUCCCAUAUGCACUUCAAUUGUUUAUUUCAAAUAAUGUUUGUGUUAUUCAGGCUAUACCUGGAAUUUUUUUGAAGUCAUCUUAAACCAGCAGUUUUCAAUUGGAAUUCAGCGGGUGUUUCGCAAAAAGAUUGUAAAAGAAACGAGAGGAAGAACUUAUGAAUAAAACUAUCGUGACAGGAUUUAGAAUGUAACAUAUAUUUUUCAUAAAACCUCAGAGAUAUUUUGUAGAGAAAUAAAUAUGAUACAAUUA